Molecule: ribosomal RNA, 273 nt
Filed under: uncultured bacterium
Lineage: Bacteria
Description: partial 16S ribosomal RNA
Rfam family: Bacterial small subunit ribosomal RNA
Source: RNAcentral
UUGAGCCUACGGGGGGCAGCAGUAGGGAAUCUUCCACAAUGGGCGAAAGCCUGAUGGAGCAACGCCGCGUGGGUGAAGAAGGUCUUCGGAUCGUAAAACCCUGUUGUUAGAGAAGAAAGUGCGUGAGAGUAACUGUUCACGUUUCGACGGUAUCUAACCAGAAAGCCACGGCUAACUACGUGCCAGCAGCCGCGGUAAUACGUAGGUGGCAAGCGUUAUCCGGAUUUAUUGGGCGUAAAGGGUGCGUAGGCGGGUAAGCAAGUCAGAAGUGAA